This 96-nucleotide transfer RNA is filed under the name Nanobdellota archaeon. Its description in RNAcentral is "tRNA-Phe". It matches the Rfam family "tRNA". From Rfam's summary of the family: Transfer RNA (tRNA) molecules are approximately 80 nucleotides in length. The record is from RNAcentral. RNAcentral also lists the same sequence under 1 other name. Lineage: Archaea; Nanobdellati; Nanobdellota.
GGGGCCGUAGCUCAGACUGGGAAGGGCAACCCUUCGUCUUAGGAGAGCGCUACGCUGAAGACGUAGGUGUCCUGGGUUCAAAUCCCAGCGGCCCCA